Molecule: non-coding RNA, 72 nt
Organism: Rhamnusium bicolor
Lineage: Eukaryota; Metazoa; Arthropoda; Insecta; Coleoptera; Cerambycidae
Source: the annotation of a GenBank genome assembly
GACUCAGUGGUUCAAUUCUUAUACGUUAGGCUUGAGACCAAGAGGUCCCAGAUUCGAUUCCUGGCUAGAACA